CCGGUGUCCCUCUUCGGAGCAAUGGAAACAGGUGGUGCAUGGUUGUCGUCAGCUCGUGUCGUGAGAUGUUGGGUUAAGUCCCGCAACGAGCGCAACCCUUAUCCUUAGUAGCCAGCGAGUAGAGUCGGGCACUCUGGGGAGACUGCCAGGGAUAACCUGGAGGAAGGUGGGGAUGACGUCAAAUCAUCAUGCCCCUUAUGAUUUGGGCUACACACGUGCUACAAUGGCGUAAACAAAGGGAGGCAAAGGAGCGAUCCGGAGCAAACCCCAAAAAUAACGUCUCAGUUCGGAUUGCAGGCUGCAACUCGCCUGCAUGAAGCUGGAAUCGCUAGUAAUCGCGAAUCAGAAUGUCGCGGUGAAUACGUUCCCGGGUCUUGUACACACCGA
RNAcentral lists this ribosomal RNA (387 nucleotides) under uncultured bacterium. Its description in RNAcentral is "bacterial SSU rRNA". It matches the Rfam family "Bacterial small subunit ribosomal RNA", at positions 1007 to 1393 of the family's 1533-position model. The record is from RNAcentral.